CUAAAGCCACCUCCUUCAUUUAACACCUCAACCACAGACACAUUUAAGACCUGAUGGUAAAUUUCCAGUCUGAGUGUCUCUGUCUGAUGGUCACCAUGUUCAGCCUGAACCGAGCAGCUCUGCUUCAACUAUUAGUUAUGUGCCAAGUCUUUGCAGGUCAUCGUCUCGUGCACCACUGGGAUAUUCUGGUGUCCAGAGGAGAAUCUGUCACACUGACUUGCAACACAUCCGAGGAAAAGAUCACACAAGUCCACUGGACCAACGACAGAUUUAGUUUUAUUCAUUCAAUUCAACUUAAUAAGACUGUUUCGAAUCUAACCUCUCACAGACUGACAAUAGACGGAAACUUAUCUUUAAAGCUGAAUGUUUUUAAUGCUCAACAUGAAGAUGCAGGACUCUAUACAUGUACAGUAGUAACUGGUGACCGUGGCACAUGGACAACAGAGUGGAAUAUGACAGUGUCUGAGGCACCUGAAGGUAAGCACAGGACUAAUGACACAGGAGUCAGUUCAUCGUGGGAUUUUCUAUAUUUACUCAUAUAUGUGAUUGGACUUCUUCUCUGUGUCAUCGCUACAGCUGUCUGCCUCUGCAGAAAACUCCAGACGGGGACAUCAACCAGGACUCAGUGAGCAGCAGGACUCUGAGUCGUGUCCAGUUUCUUGUCCAGUUGGGAGGAAAGGCGUCUCCUCCUCAGUACCAGAGCUGUGUAGUGUACAGGAUGAAUCACCAGCAGAGGGAGACAAGAGGCUCAGUUCAGUGUUUGGUCUGACAAGAAUGACAUUCAGGUUAAAGUUGAAUAAGAAACAAAAGAGAUGUUAGACAGGACACAUGAUAUAUGAUGAUGUAAAUAAUAUGGAUCCAGCCUGGAGAAUGACGGCCUUGUUAAAACUGAAAGUGGAGAAACAGCAGUCAGUUUUUUGCAUCAUUAAUCUGGAACAAACUCCUUGAAAAUGUGAUUUAAAUCAGGACUCAAGACAUUUCUGUUUGCAGCAACCUUUUAUUACAUUAAAGUUUGGAUCAUUUAAUCUGAUUUCACACAGCUGCACUAUAAUAUUUGGUUUCAGUUUUUAUUCUUUCUAUUUUAGCUCAUCUUUCUAUUGAUGACACUUGUGUAUUAAAUAUGUUCUUACCUAUGUAUGGCUUUCAUUGUUAAUAUGCUGUGUUGAUUGUGUUACCACCUGUUGUGCAC
Molecule: long non-coding RNA, 1189 nt
Organism: Acanthopagrus latus (yellowfin seabream)
Lineage: Eukaryota; Metazoa; Chordata; Actinopteri; Spariformes; Sparidae
Exons: 4
Source: RefSeq, a predicted model, not a curated record